AAAAAAUGUCAAGUAAAUUCUAUGAUGCACAUGCAGUCUUAGCAUACACAUUAGGGUAAAUCUGUUGCAGUUUUUCAGGUUAACUCUUAUACAUUUCUUUUUCACAGCAGAAAUGUUUCUUACAAAAAAUAUAAAAAAAAAGAAAAGAAAUGGGCUACAUCAAAAUAUAAAUCUGUCCCCAAUGAUAUUCUGCUGUGAACCUCACCUUUAUUACAUGUGACAUAUAUGUGGCAGUGCAGGCACUGUAUUGCAAAGGAGAGUUGAAGGAUUCAGACAGAGUCACAAAGUACCAUGGAGCAAACUGAAGGGAGUGUGUGUCAUACUGAAGGAGGGAGCACUGCAUGACGGUGACCCACAGGACACUGGUUUCCUAAUUGAAGGUGUGGAAGUCCUCAGUGACUUGAGUAGCAUUGUGCAGGCUUGUGCUCUGUUAUUUGGGCUGAUAUAUUGUUUGAACCUGAGCUACUCACCAGAGCUCAGAUGCACUUUUGAAGACAUGCAGAAGAUCCUUCUAAAUCUAAAUGGACAGAGGUUGUCAUCCAAGGCACAGCUCAACAACAAACUUUUGGAGAUAAUGACCUUGAAAAAGACAGAAAAGUUAAACAAAAUGCACUUGGAGUUCCUUAUGUAUAUGGACAACUUUUUUUGCCACCGUUCCUCCAAACAAGCAACUGGAGCAAUUGAGCUUGAAUAGGACUGGUGUACUUCAGGAAGAUGCACAUUUGUAGUUCGAUAGAAACUCUUUUUAGACCACUGUUAUUCAUGGCACAGUUACUUUAAACAGGGUGCUGGAGAAAGUGAGUAGAAGCAGUUGUAACACAUUUACAAAUAUUUUCUGGGAGUGAUUUUCUUAUUUUCAGAUGUAAUGCAA
Molecule: long non-coding RNA, 871 nt
Organism: Carassius carassius (crucian carp)
Lineage: Eukaryota; Metazoa; Chordata; Actinopteri; Cypriniformes; Cyprinidae
Exons: 3
Source: RefSeq, a predicted model, not a curated record